CUCACAGGCUGGCAGGCAGGCAACUGCAAUUACAUUACACAGAAAAAAGCCCUUUUUAGGGCUAGAACAUCAGUCUGCUUUUUUUUUUCUGUGUAAUGUAAUUGCAAUUGCCUGCCUGCCAGCCUGUGAA
This is a non-coding RNA of Pelobates cultripes (western spadefoot toad), 130 nucleotides long. Lineage: Eukaryota; Metazoa; Chordata; Amphibia; Anura; Pelobatidae. The record is from the annotation of a GenBank genome assembly.